RNAcentral lists this long non-coding RNA (386 nucleotides) under Oryza sativa (Asian cultivated rice). RNAcentral's name for it is "long non-coding RNA (OSAT_LNC001025)". Lineage: Eukaryota; Viridiplantae; Streptophyta; Magnoliopsida; Poales; Poaceae. The record is from RNAcentral.
CACCGGCAGCGACGUCACCUGGGUGCAAUGCCAGCCGUGCGCCGACUGCUACCAGCAGUCCGACCCGGUGUUCGACCCUUCCCUCUCCACCUCCUACGCCUCCGUCGCCUGCGACAACCCGCGCUGCCACGACCUCGACGCCGCCGCCUGCCGCAACUCCACCGGCGCCUGCCUCUACGAGGUCGCGUACGGCGACGGCUCCUACACCGUCGGCGACUUCGCCACCGAGACGCUCACGCUCGGCGACUCCGCCCCGGUCUCCAGCGUCGCCAUAGGCUGCGGCCACGACAACGAGGGGCUGUUCGUCGGCGCGGCGGGGCUGCUUGCCCUCGGCGGCGGGCCACUCUCCUUCCCGUCCCAGAUCUCCGCCACCACCUUCUCCUACU